Mustela erminea (ermine) is the source of this 897-nucleotide long non-coding RNA. RefSeq lists it as uncharacterized. The record is from RefSeq and is a predicted model, not a curated record. The transcript is spliced from 2 exons. Lineage: Eukaryota; Metazoa; Chordata; Mammalia; Carnivora; Mustelidae.
UUAACCCACUGAGCCACCCAGGCGCCCCUUGACGAAGAAUUGUAACUUAUCCUUUUAACUUUGUGUGUUGGAUGGAGUGGGAGUGUUUGUAGCCUUUAACUAUAGGAUAUCCCUCCUCCUCGACCCUCCAAAAAACAAAUAAACAAACAAACCAACUGAGAAACAGUAACUUUAUUUUACAUAAUGCAGAAUAAAGAAGGCAGAAAUAAUUUUAAGAAUGAAAUUGUAGCUUCUAGAUUUGGUUUUGUGACUUUACACCCAUGAUAGUGGUCAAACUACAAUGUUUAUAGUUGAAUGUAUAUUCAGAGUGUAUUUAUCAUAUAUUUACUGUUUAAGGUUGAUUGUGUUUUACAAUGUAUAUCUGGUCUUGGCUCUUUGAAAAUAAAAUAUUUAAACCUUUAAUUGAAUGUUGAUAUAGCUUGAAUGUUAAGCCUAUAUUACAAUUACAUCCUACUGUAUAUUACUGGGAAUAUCUUUUUUAUUUAUAUAAUAAUAAGUUGAAAAGACUGUAUACAGUCUUUAAAAAUGUGGAUAAUAGGUAUUUCUAGAUCUUUAAUGUGAGCCUACUAAAAGCAAAAAAGCCUAACCCCUGUUCUGUAUAUGUUGAUUUAACCUCUGAACAAAAUGAGAUUCAGUGACCAUGAUGGUAGACUGUUGGAGUGAUUGUAUUCAGAUGAGGAAGUGCGGAGUCAGGCACUCCAAGACUUUGGCUAUUGCCCUGGAAACUGUUUGCAUCAAACUUGCUAGCAAUAACCUCCCACCCUAUUCUCUUCUCUUUUCCCCUCCCUUCCUCCCUUCCUUUCUUCCUCUCCUCCUCUUCCCACUAUCUUUUUGAUGAUGGCAGUACACGUUAAAUUUGUAUACUCAUCUGAACUCAUUCUUCUGUAAAUAAAGUCU